UUUUUUUUUUCCUGUUAAGUUGUUUCUUCUUUAGAUUAUCUUUUCAUCAACCCCUGAAUACGUCCAAGUGCUGCCUGCAAUUUGAAGCAAAGGGCUUUGUCAUGUAAUCCACUAUCGUUCCACCACUAGGAAUCCAACCUCCUAAAAACGCAAUCCACUUUCCACUAGGAAUCCAAUCUCUUAAGCAAAACUCAAAACUGCCAUCAUUUUGUUUUAGAAGAUGGAAGCAACUUUAUGUUCAUUUGUUUGUUGGAUACUUGUCAAAAUUCUAAACCCUAGUCUACAUCUUAAUCAUAAGUUUCAAUUUCCCCCUUUUAUCUACUUUUUCUUUCUCAACCUUUCAAACCUUAUAAUUACUUACUGCUGCUACAGUAGCGACAUUGGAGUACAACCCAUACGCCCGUGGGAUUCCUAUGAAUCAUCACUUUGUUUCCUGUGGCCCUCUGCUCCUGUAUCAUUCAUCACCUAUGUUUUUUUGUUUUUGGAGCCCAAAUUGAGAUCCCCACCUAGUUCCCCUUGCUACAGCAUACAAAUUUUUCUUCUUAUGGAUAUCAUCUCAACCAUUUUGUGGUUACUAUGUUUAAAUUGUUCCUCUUGAUAGUAGGAAACAAAUAUAAUGAACAAAAUUAACUUUUCCAUAUAACAAUGGGGCCAUUGACCAAAAACCCAUUAUAGUGG
Molecule: unclassified non-coding RNA, 678 nt
Filed under: Hevea brasiliensis (rubber tree)
Lineage: Eukaryota; Viridiplantae; Streptophyta; Magnoliopsida; Malpighiales; Euphorbiaceae
Source: RNAcentral